UCCGGUUUGUCACCGGCAGUCUCCCUAGAGUUCCCGCCAUUACGCGCUGGCAAAUAGGGACAAGGGUUGCGCUCGUUACGGGACUUAACCCAACAUUUCACAACACGAGCUGACGACAGCCAUGCAGCACCUGUCACUCGGUUCCCGAAGGCACUCCGCCGUCUCCGGCAGAUUCCGAGGAUGUCAAGGGUAGGUAAGGUUCUUCGCGUUGCAUCGAAUUAAAGAACAUGCUCCGCUGCUUGUGCGGGCCCCCGUCAAUUCCUUUGAGUUUCAGCCUUGCGGCCGUACUCCCCAGGCGGGGCACUUAAUGCGUUAGCUGCGACACCGAGUGCGUCUAUACACCCGGCAUCUAGUGCCCAGCGUUUACGGCGUGGACUAC
RNAcentral lists this unclassified non-coding RNA (379 nucleotides) under uncultured Pseudomonadota bacterium. RNAcentral describes it as "uncultured proteobacterium contains 16S-23S intergenic spacer region". Lineage: Bacteria; Pseudomonadati; Pseudomonadota. The record is from RNAcentral.